AAAGGCCUGGGCUAAUUCAGUCCUCUACUUCACAUGGGACUAUCCCAGUCUAAGAGAAAUCAGCUUAGAAGCUGACAGUUUAUUGGAGGAAGCAGAAAGUGUCUUCAGGAAGUCACACCCAAGGCCUGGCUGCACACUGACUGUACAAGGGUUCAGAUGCAAUAAAUCAUCGAAGCAGUGCACAGACCAGCGGGUGAAGAUUCAUGUGAACAAGCAGGGCUUUUUUGUGCAGGCUUUGCGAAGGCCUUUGUUUCCAGACUGAUCUACAGACUAAUAACUAGAAGUGCACUGGAGG
Molecule: long non-coding RNA, 295 nt
Organism: Sinocyclocheilus anshuiensis
Lineage: Eukaryota; Metazoa; Chordata; Actinopteri; Cypriniformes; Cyprinidae
Exons: 4
Source: RefSeq, a predicted model, not a curated record